This 1135-nucleotide long non-coding RNA is filed under the name Monodelphis domestica (gray short-tailed opossum). Its description in RNAcentral is "lncRNA (ENSMODG00000037144.1)". Lineage: Eukaryota; Metazoa; Chordata; Mammalia; Didelphimorphia; Didelphidae. The record is from RNAcentral.
GCGGGGUAGAGGGUCCGAGAACCGGGAGCCGGGACGCCGGGGUCCAAAAGCUGCCGCGCGCCCGCUCCGCCCCGUGACACAGCCGCGUGCGCGCUCCCGCUUCCCACUCCCACCCCCAUGGCGGAGCCCCGCCCCUAGGGGCGCGCCCGGCCCACGCGCGAGAGCGCGCGAGGGCGCAGGCAACCUGAGCCUCCCAUUUUCCCAGGCCUGCGAGUGGGGGUUUCCACGUAGCCCCUUAGGCCCCUGACUCUGGUACUGUCCCGAAGAUUGGAAUCAGGAAAACUGUGAAAAAUGACGACAGACAGAUACACAAUUAGGCAAAAGGGAGGUACCUUACAAAGCUGAAAAUGACACCCAAUUCUAGCCACUUCUCCCUCACCUGCCCCCUGAAAGCCACACCCAGUGUUUUCCCCAGUCCUGGUUUCUACACUUCUAUCUUGAGGCUGACUCUCCCCCUUGUGACCUGUCCACCAAUCGGAGGAAGCAGUGGCUGGACACCCUUCAGAUCUCCAAGCAGAUCUCCACUGACCUGGGGCCCAGGCAUGCACUGAGGACAUGCCCCUAAAGAUGGCUGGGCCUGCCAGAUGGCAGGAUUCACUUACCAGAAGCAGUGGGGAGACACCUAGCAAAAAGAAUACAUGAUACCACACAUAUGGGAGGCAUGAAACUGAGUGAUAUGCUGGGCAGAGACUUUUUCUUUCAUAAUAUGCACUGAAUCUGCAAAGACAUCACUUAAAGAUGUGAAACAUGUGCGUGGGUUAAUCAAAAGGGGGGACCGAAGAAACCAGGGGACACCUGGUUAAGGGGGCUGGAGCCAGGAGAACAGUGGGAGAUAGAUUUUACAGACAUUAAGCCAGGGAAAUAUGGGUACAGGUAUCUUUUAGUCCUGGUAGACACUUUUUCAGGUUGGGUAGAAGCAUAUCCAACAAAACAUGAAACUGCCUCAGGGGUAGUUAAACUGAACCUCAACUAACCUCUCCUCCGGCUGCUGGCUUUGCCUUGAUUCCCAACCGCCAUAUUACGAAGCCAUUGCCUUGAAUACCUCGUUCAAUUCCUCCCAGGAGGAUAGCCCCCAAGGUUGCAAUUGGAGCAACCGUAAAGUAGGCCUGACCAUGCCUAUAUCCGGCCAAGGUAU